RNAcentral lists this ribosomal RNA (440 nucleotides) under uncultured bacterium. Its description in RNAcentral is "partial 16S ribosomal RNA". It matches the Rfam family "Bacterial small subunit ribosomal RNA", at positions 338 to 795 of the family's 1533-position model. The record is from RNAcentral.
CCUACGGGAGGCAGCAGUGGGGAAUAUUGCACAAUGGGGGAAACCCUGAUGCAGCAACGCCGCGUGAGUGAAGAAGUAUCUCGGUAUGUAAAGCUCUAUCAGCCGGGAAGAAGAUGACGGUACCUGAGUAAGAAGCCCCGGCUAACUACGUGCCAGCAGCCGCGGUAAUACGUAGGGGGCAAGCGUUAUCCGGAUUUACUGGGUGUAAAGGGAGCGUAGACGGCAGGGCAAGUCUGGCGUGAAAUGCCGGGGCCCAACCCCGGAACUGCGCUGGAAACUGUGAAGCUGGAGUGCAGGAGAGGUAAGCGGAAUGCCUGGUGUAGCGGUGAAAUGCGUAGAUAUCAGGAGGAACACCGGCGGCGAAGGCGGCUUACGGGACUGUAACUGACGUUGAGGCUCGAAGGCGUGGGGAGCAAACAGGAUUAGAUACCCGGGUAGUC